RNAcentral lists this transfer-messenger RNA (346 nucleotides) under Syntrophomonadaceae bacterium. It matches the Rfam family "transfer-messenger RNA", at positions 50 to 374 of the family's 374-position model. From Rfam's summary of the family: Bacterial tmRNA, also known as 10Sa RNA or SsrA, is named for its dual tRNA and mRNA-like properties. Lineage: Bacteria; Bacillati; Bacillota; Clostridia; Eubacteriales; Syntrophomonadaceae. The record is from RNAcentral.
UCGGGAUGCCCAGCGGGAGAUGCGGCGAGUGGAAAACUUUAUAACUGCAAACGAUAAUUACGUAGUAGCUGCUUAGAGCAGCUACGUCCUGCCCGGGUUCGCCUGUGAUUCGGGGCCAGGGCGUCAUUUAGCAGGCUAGCCAGAGGCCAAUUCUCGGAGGUCUUGCGGCGAAGUUCAUCGAGAUAGCUCCAGCGAAGCCCGUCUGUGGGCGGCGUAUCAGUCUUCGGACUGGAGGAGGCUUUCGGCCAACGCGCCGAGAGGCCAUAGUGGAGUGAGGUAUAGUACGCAGACUGCACUCGGAGAUGUUGCUGUGGUCAGUCUUUCGGACAGGGGUUCGACUCCCCUC